CGUAUUUGAUCCGUCAUAGUU
RNAcentral lists this small nuclear RNA (21 nucleotides) under Arabidopsis thaliana (thale cress). Its description in RNAcentral is "snRNA_16974". Lineage: Eukaryota; Viridiplantae; Streptophyta; Magnoliopsida; Brassicales; Brassicaceae. The record is from RNAcentral.